Haliotis rufescens (red abalone) is the source of this 1085-nucleotide long non-coding RNA. RefSeq lists it as uncharacterized. Lineage: Eukaryota; Metazoa; Mollusca; Gastropoda; Lepetellida; Haliotidae. The transcript has 2 exons. The record is from RefSeq and is a predicted model, not a curated record.
GAAAUCUGUUUUGUGGUAACCAGACUUCACAGGAUCUGUUCAAUAUUAUGUCAAUAUGGGGAUUUUCUCACUGCUUUUCAGGGAUGGGGCUAUGGCUAUUAAAGUGAAACUACUUUCCCUGGGAAAUUAUUUCUGCUACAUGGCUCCAGAUAAGGACUGUAUGUACAAGUGCUACACUGUAUGUACAAGUGCAAAUAUACGAGAUAAGAUGUAUGAAUUAAGGAAAGGACCUGAUGUCUGUGUAUGGCCAAAGCUUUAUUUAAAUGUUACUUUUAUGUUUUGAGCAAUAUUCCCCUCAACCUCUUGACAUCAUCACCAUAAUAGCUAAGUGCUCACUGCUGCUACACAAACUUGAUAUAUAAUAUUCUUAUAUUUCUAUUUAAGAAAUCCAGAUGUUCAGCCAUUGCCUAUUGGCAAACAUGGAUGAGCUGAAUGAACUGUUAGCAGCUUUUCCAAAAUCGAGCAACUGAGAGAGCACUGAAGCUGAGGAGGAAGCCUGCAGUUGGGCUCUUACAAGCCACUGACAAGUACAUGGUGACCUGUGUAAAAGAAUGGCUUCGAGUUCCAGGAGCAAGGCUUAGAAAUGGCAUAAGGAAAACGCGUACUGAAAAACAGAGGUGUAGAUAGAGAAUCUGCAAACAAAAGUGCUGAAUUGCAACAGAACAAAGAAAUCCAAAAAGUUGGUGUUGACAACAUAUUUUUCACAGGGUUAUGACCCUUGUUUUUGAACUUGGUACAUAUACUGCCAGGUUCUCCUGGACACUACUGAAGUUAAUAAAUGAAACUGUCUGUGCUUAUCUAAGGUACAAACGCAAUAAGAUGGUUAUAAGAACUUAUUUUGUAUGGAGUUAUGGCCUUUGCUUCAUGCUUUUUUAACUUGAUGAAAUAUAGGGGGAAACAGUUUGUCUCACAAACGAAUUUGAAGCCACAUAAAUGAAAUUUUGCAGGCCAAUAUUAGGGGUAUAUGUUUAGACUGUGUUUUAAAACUGGUUUUGAGAAUAUAUGUUUCACAUCCGCCUUGUUGCAGGUAGUAACACUGUUUUCUUGUUAAUAAUAAUUAAUUAAUAAUAAAGUUUAUUAUUCUA